Molecule: non-coding RNA, 72 nt
Organism: Phrynosoma platyrhinos (Desert horned lizard)
Lineage: Eukaryota; Metazoa; Chordata; Lepidosauria; Squamata; Phrynosomatidae
Source: the annotation of a GenBank genome assembly
GACAGUGUGGUGUAGUGGUUUGAAUGUUGGCCUACGAUUCUGGAGACCAGGGUUCAAAUCUCUGCUUGGCCA